Molecule: long non-coding RNA, 310 nt
Filed under: Fukomys damarensis (Damara mole-rat)
Lineage: Eukaryota; Metazoa; Chordata; Mammalia; Rodentia; Bathyergidae
Description: lncRNA (ENSFDAG00000023458.1)
Source: RNAcentral
AUGAGGAUUCCGGUGAGUGACAGCCUCGCAGUUUCUGCACCUGGGUAUCGCUGUGUGGCUUUCCUAGUGAGUAUCAGCAUGAGAUUUCACCUUAGGCUCAGCCAGAGUGGAGGAGGUCGAGGACCGCCCUCGGGGAAGGUAGGAAUCAGGUGGUGGGUUAGGGUUAGGACAGGGGAGCACGGCACCGCAGGAGUUCACAAGGCAGACAAUUUGGGCGUGAGAGGUAAGGUGAGGGCAGUGACUUUUGUGAAGCUCGGAUGUGCCGUGGAUUUCCCUCGGACCGGAUUCUUGCCGCCUUGACAGAAUCGGG